Molecule: long non-coding RNA, 1616 nt
Organism: Canis lupus familiaris (dog)
Lineage: Eukaryota; Metazoa; Chordata; Mammalia; Carnivora; Canidae
Exons: 2
Source: RefSeq, a predicted model, not a curated record
GCGGGGCGGGGCGGGGCGAGCGCGUGCGCUCCGCGAGCCCCACCGCGCCGGCCGGCCUCGUAAGCCCCUUCGCGUGGCCCCGUCAUCUACGUGGGCCUUGCAGCUUCCGAGCUCUUCUCCUGGAAUCGCGGGGCUCAUGAGAGCCCGACCAGUGCUCGAAAUCACACUCCUUCAAAAAAAGAGAGAAAUGUAAGGCCCAGGGAAGAGAGAGCUCCGGACUCAGAGGCGGAGGUUGGCUCGAGAGGCGGUGUCCCCGCCCAGGAAGAUGCGGGCAGCCAUGUGUGAUGGGCACCCUGGCCUCCGAAGACCCCCGGGAGAGGCCGCUCACGGUGGUGUCCGAGCUUGCUGGGGAACUCGCGGCACGGACGGUAGCAGAGUAAGCGCGCUUCGGCGGCUCCCGCUUGAGGUGCCGCAGCCGUGGCGACGGCCUCUGCCGGAGGAGCUCACCGGUGUUGGCACUUGAGCUCCAGCCCAGACGCACAAGCCAGCGGGGAAGCAGCUGACCUGUGGUUCAGGAUCAGACAGGACAGACAAGUACUUAGAAAAACAGACACCAGGAGCGCAUGCCUGAACCGCGCAAAACCCAGGACAGAGAUGGGAUUAUCCAGGAAAGUUCUGUGGAGGAGCCUCUUGUCUAAUGAAGUGAAUUCCCAUGACAGAUCCACAAGGUUGAGAAUUUUACACCAGCAGAACUGCCAACUUGAGACUCUGAAGGACAGAAAAAGAACAAAAUGAAAGAAGGCUGUGAAUCCCCAAAAUUCCAAAAGCAGGAAACAAGCUGAUAAAACUACUCAUCUAUAAACAAGUGCUUCUGUUCAUGAAAAAGCGAGGGCUCCUAGGAAGUCAGCUUGAGCUCAGAGAAUACUCUCUGGCCUUAAAGCCUGGAUACUUUUUCCAGCUAGAUUUUUAAAUUGGUUAAGACCAAUGACUGCUUUUUCCCAUCUAUUGUCCUCCCAUUUUGAAGGGCCAUGUCUCCAGGAUGGAUCAUACCUAGCUCUCACCUAUACCUCAUUUAGACAAUGAGACUUUGGACUUUGGAGCCAAGACAGAGAUGUUGCUUUGAUGGUAUGCAAUGGUUGACACUUUGGGUAACACGGAGAUUAAAAUGAAUGCAUUCUGUAUGUGUGAGAUGGCUGUGAAUCUUUAGGGGCAAAGGCCAGACUAAGGAAGAAUACCCUGCCAACCUACCAAAAAUGUACAUGUCCUAAUCCCCAACACCUGUGAAUGUUACUACACAUCGCCAAAGGACUUUUGGGAUGUGAUGAAGUUACAGCAUCAUUAGGGAACUAAUUCAGUGAUUGAGUCCUUGUCUUGGGGCAAGAAAAAAAAAACAAACCCAGAAUGGAUCUUGUAGAAUUCUUUCCUCUGCAGAAAAUAACGAGGUGACAAUGGAUAUAAAAUAAUAAAAAGGAGAGGUGCCUGGAUGGCGCAGUAGGUUGAGCCUCAGAUCCUUGGUUUUAGCUCAAGCCAUGAUCUCAGGGUUGUGAGAUGGAGCCCUGCUUCAGGGGGAGGGCUCAGGGGAUUGCCUCCCCAUUCAGCAAUCUGCUUGACAUUCUUUCUCCCUCUGGCCCACCCCCAUCCUCUCUCUCUAAAAUAAAGUCCUUAAUGAAUAAUAA